UGGGGAAUAUUGGACAAUGGGGGGAACCCUGAUCCAGCCAUGCCGCGUGUGUGAAGAAGGCCUUAUGGUUGUAAAGCACUUUAAGCGAGGAGGAGGGUACUGGUAUUACUACUACCAGCUACUGGACGUUACUCGCAGAAUACGCACCGGCUAACUCUGUGCCAGCAGCCGCGGUCAUACAGAGGGUGCGAGCGUUAAUCGGAUUUACUGGGCGUAAAGCGUGCGUAGGCGGCUAAUUGAGUCGGAUGUGAAAUCCCCGAGCUUAACUUGGGAAUUGCAUUCGAUACUGGUUAGCUAGAGUGUGGGAGAGGAUGGUAGAAUUCCAGGUGUAGCGGUGAGAUGCGUAGAGAGCUGGAGGAAUACCGAUGGCGAAGGCAGCCAUCUGGCCUAACACUGACGCUGAGGUACGAAAGAAUGGGGAGCAAACAGG
Molecule: ribosomal RNA, 430 nt
Filed under: Pseudomonadota bacterium
Lineage: Bacteria; Pseudomonadati; Pseudomonadota
Description: Proteobacteria bacterium partial 16S ribosomal RNA
Rfam family: Bacterial small subunit ribosomal RNA
Source: RNAcentral